GCCCGCCUAGCUCAAUCGGAUAGAGCGUCAGACUCUUAACGAGUCCGCAAGCGGGCAUCUCACUGAAUCUGAAGGCUGCGAGUUCGACCCUCGCGGUGGGCU
Molecule: non-coding RNA, 102 nt
Organism: Marasmius tenuissimus
Lineage: Eukaryota; Fungi; Basidiomycota; Agaricomycetes; Agaricales; Marasmiaceae
Source: the annotation of a GenBank genome assembly